AUGACCCCACCCCACAUUAUACCCCCCUUUUUUAUUUAUUUACUAUUUUUGAAGGACCGUCCAAACUUCCCACCCAAGCUAUUGCUAUCAAACUUGAAAUAAAAUAUAUUUAGUUUGCUUUAUGUCUUUACAAAUGUUCAAUAGAUUGUGGAAAAUAUACCUGAACUAUUACCUUGACCUUAUUGAAUAAUUUGAACAAUUACCCCAUGAUGGCUUACCUUAUACCGUCAAGCACUCAUAUAGUCGAGGGCGCUGUCCUCUGACAGCUCUUGCUUUUUAAAAAGCGUGGAUAUAUUGUGGUUAUCUCCGCUGUCUGUCCGUCCGUCUGUCCGUCCGUUCUCACGAAUGAUACAUUGUGCAACUUUUUUUAUGCCUAGAUAUGCAUUGUGUGUCUAAAUUUCAUUGUGCGACUAGUCGCAUAAAACAUUUGGCCAAACUUCGUCAAAAUGUGUUUUGUGCAACUUUAAGCCUAUCCGGAGAAGUCGCACAACGUUUUUGUCCAAAAUGAUAUCCAUGACAAACUGUCUAUGCAACGGACGAGACCAUAACUUCUAAUAUUGCAAGUGUCGGUGAAAGUUUGAGAGACUAUAUCUGAGCUAAUCAUAAAGCCUGCUUUCUAAACAACGCAUGUGCACACACCCGCGUAUCGCACAUGUGGCUUGUUGUGCAGUGGGACUGUCGAACGCCGCAGAACCCAUGAUAAAACGGAAUUAUAUUUUAUAGAACCAUAUGUGAGGUAAGUUUCGUAUGUUUUCUUUCUAUAACUAUAAUCCAUUAAAUGCUUUCUGUUUGUGAAUGACUUAUGGCACCCAGUUUAAGCAAUGAAAACAGGAAUAAAUAAGGUCAUUUUGAAAUCUGUUUUAUUGGCCACUCAGUGAUCGGGAAAUGCAAUAUUUAAAUUUUGUCCAAUUUCACGUGAACCUGCUCGUUGUUAGCAACGUAAUAAAGACGACGCCAUUUUGUUUGUUAGAUAUUAUAUGAGUUUAUAAAACAAGUGGAACAGAACUGUUUAGUUUUCUAUGACAGUGUUCAUUUUGUUUUUAUGUGAGUACCUGGUGCAUUGCUGCUAGAAACAGGACUAUAGAUAACAAGACUUAGUGUAUUUGCGUUAUUUCGCAAUUCAAAUAACCAAAAACGUAAUUAAAAUUCAAAAUAAAGCGUACAAAAACGCAAAUACAAAUUCAACAACGUAAUUCCCGUAAAAAACCUUACAUCAUGAAAGGCAAUUCUGAUGAACACCACGCGUAUUUUUUAGACUGGUUAUUUUCCGUACAAUAAUGUACCAGAUAGUUUAUAUGCCGUCCUAUAAAGAAAAGAAGGCAGUCUUUCCAGCGGUUAUCAAUCUUUUAGGUGUUAUUGUAAUUAUUCUUAGAACCAUCCAAUUUCUACUUUCAUUUUCUGUAAUAAUAAAAAUUGCCACUCGUUGACAUACAAUUUAAGGACCAGACUUUGAUCAGAAAUUCAGUAAUUGUUUGUUGUUAUGUACAGGUGCCUUUUUAAAUUCCAUUUGAAUAAACAAUAUUGUAACCUUGUAGAUUUGUAUUACAUUAUAAUAUGUCUUUCCCUAAAUUACCCAAUUGAGUUUAAAAAAAACGUGGGUGAAAAACCCAACUAAGCUCAUAAGAAGGGGGUGAAAAUGUUUGCUAAAACUCUAUUGAAUUGACAAAACCCCUAUUGUUGUAAAAAAUAGGGGGUGAUUACUAAAUAUAACAUCAGACUGAGUUGCAGUUGAAAGUUAUUACUUAAAAACACAUACAUGUAAAUAUAAAUUUUACAUUCAACACGAACACACAAGUUACUUGCAUGUUCAUUUUGUAAAUAAUUCUGAGGUAAAUGCAAGGCUUUUUUCAGCCAAUUUUACAGCCUUGAUGGUUGGCCGAUGAAAAUACUAAAAGAGAAAAAAUUAUAGUUAUUGUGUUAAUAAAAUGUUUAACUUUUAUUGGAAUAUUCAAUGCUGGUCUAAUUUUUGUGUAUUUUCGCACUUUAAUCAAUGUAAAAAAUUAAGAUGGUGCAAAUUGAUAUACAAUAAAAGACUGAGUGAACUGCAAUUUUGUCUAAGGAUACACAAUUAUCACUUUGAAAGUUCAGCAGCCUUGUUGCUUUUUACAAAUCAACCUGUGUGAAUAAUACCACAGGAUUGCAAAUACAAACAAUUAUUUCAAAUUACUGAAAAUGAGCUGAUUUUGAUGUGUGAGCGUAAGCUCACAAAUAAUGUAGAGGCAAUUUUGCAACUCAGUCUGCUGUUAAGUACGCUAGGAACCAUAACCACUGCCUGUCUGCACUACCUGCAGUAAAAUAUUGCAGACGACAAAUGCUAUGAGUGUGUGCUCUAACCACAGCAUCUGCCUGUUUAUAGUUCCCACUGGUACACUACAUUGUGUGUAUGUAAUCAAAAGUAUUUAACAGCUUGUAAGACAACAAUGGCCAGUCUAGUGUUUAUCAUUGAAAUCUGUACAUAUUGGCUGCUUUCAGGGAAAACGGGGCUUAAUGCAUAUCAAAUAAGAUUAGCCUGUGCACACUGAUUAGCCUGUGCAAUGCGACAGGUUAAUCAAGGACGACAAUUUCUGAUUUUGUGGUGUUUUUGGUUAAAAGAGAGUCUCGUGUACUAGGAUGGACAUUACAGUCACACACCUGCGUUAUGGACAUGACAGUUACUUAGUUUAAUAGAAUUUAAGUCACACAAUUUAUGGACAUGACAGUCACUUAGGUUAUGGACGUUAAACUCACACAAGUUUUGGACAUGACAGUUAAAUACAAUUAAAGUCACACAAUUUAUGGACAUGACAGUCACACAACUUACGGACAUUACAGUUACUUAGGUUAUGGAUGUUAAAGUCACACAAGUUAUGGACAUGCCAGUUACUAAGUUUAAUAACAUUAAAGUCACACAAUUUAUGGACAUGACAGUCACUUAGGUUAUAGACAAUAAAGUCACACAACUUACGGACAUUUCAGUGACACAACUUACAGUAAUUACAGUUACUUAGAUUAUUAACAUUAAAGUCACACAAUUUAUGGACAUGACAGUCACUGAGGUUUUAGAAGUUAAAGUCACACAAGUUAUGGACAUGACAGUUACUUAGUUAAAUAAAAUUGAAGUCACACAAUUUAUGGACUCGACAGUCACUUAGGUUAUGGACAAUUAAGUCACACAACUUACGGACAUAACCCUGACACAACUUAGGGUCAUUACAGUUACUUUGAUUAUUAACAUUAAAGUCACACAAUUUAUGGACAUGACAGUCACGUAGGUUAUGGACGUUAAUGUCACACAAGUUAUGGACAUGCCAGUUACUUAGUUUAAUAAAACUAAAGUCACACAAUUUAUGGACAUGACAGUCACUUAGGUUAUAGACAAUUUAGUCACACAACUUACGGACAUUACAGUCAACAAGUUAGGGACAGUCACAUGCCAGUGACUUAGUUUAUUAUGCCCCCCUUCGAAGAAGAGGGGGUAUAUUGCUUUGCUCAUGUCGGUCUGUCUGUCGGUCGGUCGGUCGGUAGGUCGGUCUGUCGGUAGGUCAGUCGGUAGGUCGGUCGGUAGGUCGGUCGGUCGGUCCGUCCACCAGGUGGUUGUCAGAUGAUAACUCAAGAACGCUUGGGCCUAGGAUCAUCAAACUUCAUAGGUACAUUGAUCAUGACUUGCAGAUGACCCCUAUUGAUUUUGAGGUCACUAGGUCAAAGGUCAAGGUCAUGGUGACCCGAAAUAGUAAAAUGGUUUCCUGAUGAUAACUCAAGAACGCAUACGCCUAGGAUCAUGAAACUUCAUGGAAGAUUGAUCAUGACUCGCAGAUGACCCCUAUUGAUUUUGAGGUCACUAGGUCAAAGGUCAAGGUCACGGUGACCCGAAAUAGUAAAAUGGUUUCCUGAUGAUAACUUAAGAAAGCAUACGCCUAGGAUCAUGAAACUUCAUGGGUAGAUUGAUCAUGACUCGCAGAUGACCCCUAUUGAUUUGGAGGUCACUAGGUCAAAGGUCAAGGUCACGGUGACCCGAAAUAGUAAAAUGAUUUUCGGAUGAUAAUUCAAGAACGCAUAUGCCUAGGAUCAUGAAACUUUAUAGGUAGCUUGAUCAUGACUCGCAGAUAACCCCUAUUGAUGUUCAGGUCACUAGGUCAAAGGUCAAGGUCACGGUGACCCGAAAAAGUAAAAUGAUUUUCGGAUGAUAACUCAAGAACGCAUAUGCCUAGGAUCAUGAAACUUCAUAGGUAGAUUGAUCAUGACUUGCAGAUGACCCCUAUUGAUUUUGAGGUCACAAGGUCAAAGGUCAAGGUGACCCGAAAUAGUAAAAUGAUUUUCGGAUGAUAACUCAAGAACGCUUUUGCCUAGGAUCAUGACUUUUCAUAGGUACAUUGAUUGUGACUUGCAGAUGACCUCUAUUGAUUUUUAAUAUUAAAGACACACAAUUUAUGGACAUGACAGUCACUUAGGUUAUGGACGUUAAAGUCACACAAGUUAUGGAAAUGACAGUUUCACAGUUUAAUAAAAUUAAAGUCGCGCAAUUUAUGGACAUGACAGUCACUUAUGUUAUGGACAAAUAAGUCACACAACUUACGGACAUGAUAGUCACACAAGUUAUGGACAUGCCAGUUACUUAGAUUAUUAACAUUAAAGUCACGCAAUUUAUGGACAUGAUAGUCACUUAGAUUAUGGACAAUUUAGUCACACAACUUACGGACAUGACAGUCACACAAGUUAUGGACAUGCCAGUUACUUAGAUUAUUAACAUAAAGUCACACAAUUUAUGGACAUGAUAGUCACUUAGGUUAUGGACAUGACAGUCACACAACUUACGAACAUUAUAGUCACACAAGUUAUGGACAUGACAGUUUAAUAAAAUUAAAGUCACACAAUUUAUGGACAUGACAGUCACUUAGGUUAUGGACAUAACAGUUACACGAGUUAUGGACAUAGAAAUUGCACAGAUUUUGGAAUUUGUUACUUGUUAUAGUUACAAUAAAUGCUAACAGGCUGUGGAUAUAAUGGUAAAAUGUUAUUAAAAACACAUUGGUAAUAGGGAUAAAAGAUACACUAGUGAUGGAGUUCAGAUACACAAAUCAUGCCUAUUAAUGACACAAAAAGUCCUAUAAUCAAAUAAGAAAAUUAAUUUCAGUGGCUUUUAAGAAGCAACCAAAUUACUUGGAGGCUUCUUAAAUGAUGUAGAGUUUGCAAUGAAGGAGGGGUUCUUAAAGGUAUACAAACGUAAACUUUUAUUGAUGAUAUUUCUGUAACUUGCCUUUUAAAUAUGUUCAGAAUUACAAACUAACUAAAAUAAAUUGAAUAUCCACAACAUUUACUGCAAGGUAACAAGUAUUUGAACUAUUCAUUUUACUUUGAUUUCAAUAAAAAAUGUAUGUACAAACAUAUUAACAAUUUUGACUUUACCUGUACACAUAAUGUUUGUGUAUGUGACUAUUGUCACCUGUUCUGUGUAUUUAUGCCCCGGUAGGGUGGCAUAUAGCAGUUGAACUGUCCGUCAGUCAGUAUGUAAGUGUUUAUGUCAGUCUGUCCGUCUGUCCGAAAAAAACAACACUUUAACGUUGGCCAUAACUUUUGCAUUAUUGAAGAUAGAAACUUGAUAUUUGGCAUGCAUGUGUAUCUCAUGAAGCUGCACAUUUUGAGUGGUGGAAGUUCAACGUCAAGUUCAUCCUUCAAGGUCAAAGUUUAAAAAAAAAAAUCAAAGCGGCGUUCUCAUGAAGCUGCACAUUUUGAGUGGUGGAAGGUCAAGGUUAUCCUUCAAGGUCAAAGGUAAAAAAAACCUCUUUUUUUUAUUUCAAAGCGGCACAAUAGGGGGCAUUGUGUUUCUGACGAACAGAUCUCUUGUUCAUUUUAUAAUUCAUUAGUCAGCACAUUAUUGACCAAAACUCAUUUUUUUUGUUAAUGAUUUUAUCCCUUCAAAUCAGGAUGUAAGUAAAGAUACAUCACCCACAGGCAGUAAAGAGGUGUGCUUAUCAGGAGGUCAAGAUUCAUCGCCCACAGCCAGUCAAGAGGUUUGGCCAUCAGAACGUCAAGAUACAUCACCCACAGCCAGCUAAGAGGCGUGUUAAUCAGCAGUUCAAGAAACAUCACCCACACCCAGUCAAGAGGUGUGCUCAUCAUCAGUUCAAGAUACAUCACCCACACCCAGUCAAGAGGUGUGCUCAUCAUCAGGUCAAGAUACAUCACCCACACCCAGUCAAAAUGUGUGCUCAUCAUCAGGUCAAGAUACAUCACCCACACCCAGUCAAGAGGUGUGCUCAUCAUCAGGUCAAGAUACAUCACCCACACCUAGUCAAGAGGUGUGCUCAUCAUCAGGUCAAGAUACAUCACCCACAGCUGGUCAAGAGGUUUGGCCAUCAGCACAUCAAGACACAUCACACACAGCCAGUCAGGAGGUGAACCUUAGGAAAUACACUGCAACAUUAAGCCAGACUUUUUAACAGCUGGUCCAGAUACAUGUGGUAAUGAAAAUGGAGCAGAAGGUCAAGCAGAAGUCGAUGCUGAGCACGCAAGUCUUGAUACCCCAUAUGGCUAUGGAAGCAUGGACAAAGAUGACCACACUAUAUCAGAUGAGGAUGAAGAGGAAUUUAAGACCCCAAAAAAUGCUGAAAAACGUCAGAAAUUCACAGAGGUAGAAACAGAAGUAAUAAAAACUUACUUUGUUGAAUAUCUGAAAAGUGGAAUUUGUCUGCGAAAACAGCAGUUUGAAGAUGCCAAACAGAAAAGUCGUAAGAAAAAUGGGCAAAUUUUGGAAAAGGUCUAACGACAAGAUAAUUAAGAAAAUUAGUGCAAUGAAUCAUAAGAAAAAAUAAAAACAUGUUGUUUAUUUCUUGGAUGGAACAUUAUAAGAAAACCUACGAGAGACAUUGAAAAGUUCAUGUGACAGUGACUUGGUAAAUAUGGUUGAUGUUUGCAAGUGGUAAUUUUUGCGUGAGCAUUUUUAUUUGUUGCAUUGAAACUCUACUCUGUAUAUGUCUUAAGGUGGAAAAGAAUCUUAAGUCUGGUAUAUUAUCAAACGUUAAAAAUGCUUAUUAAAAACUUAGAUACACUAUUUUCCUUUUUGCUUCAUUGAUGCUUUUGGAAUGUACCUUAUUUACUUUCGUAUAUACCUGAUUUCAGUUUACAAAUAACACAAGUAAAGUUUAAGGUAUAGAAUAAAAACGUAUGUUAUCAACAUAUUGUCACAAAUUAAUUUUUAGAAGCAAGCUCUAUUUGUACCUUCUAAAGAAAAAAAAUCAUGAGCUUUUAAGUGUGUCCUUUUUGAAAGUCUUUGCACCUUAAGCUGCCAUAUGUAUGGUUCAUUUGCUACAUUGUUUUGGCAAGACCAAUAUGGAAUCUGGGUCAUGUGGGUCCAAAAGCUAGAAUGUGUAGAAAAAUUUACAAAAAUAAGUGUUUAUAUGCUUGAAGACACAUGUUUGAACUUUUUUUUUCAAGAUAAUAUUAAGUUUUACAAAUCUUAAGGAAACUUGGUAAGAGUCUUCUAGACAUUUUAGUUUGAAAUUGGUAGUACAAAAUACAUAUGCACACACCCUAAGCAUGUUUUUUGUUCUACAGUUACUGGUUUGUAGUAUUUAAAAAGAAUGAGGCAGUUAGAUACACCACUGACAAUUAGGUUUUUCUGAUGGCAAUGUUUACCAGUAUGAAUGGAAUAAUUUUUGUCAUACCGCUUGCAGUGAGCUCGAUAUAGUUGACACCAUAGCUCUUGCGUAUCUGUAUGUUAGUUGGUUAAGUUUUUCGGUCCGGAUUGCUU
Long non-coding RNA from Dreissena polymorpha, 7726 nucleotides. RefSeq lists it as uncharacterized. Lineage: Eukaryota; Metazoa; Mollusca; Bivalvia; Myida; Dreissenidae. The transcript has 3 exons. The record is from RefSeq and is a predicted model, not a curated record.